RNAcentral lists this ribosomal RNA (206 nucleotides) under uncultured bacterium. Its description in RNAcentral is "partial 16S ribosomal RNA". It matches the Rfam family "Bacterial small subunit ribosomal RNA", at positions 568 to 774 of the family's 1533-position model. The record is from RNAcentral.
CGUGUAGGCGGUCAGGUAAGUGAGAUGUGAAAUGCCCCGGCUCACCCGGGGACCGGCAUCUCAUACUGCUUGGCUUGAGUACGGGAGAGGGUGUGGGAAUUCCUGGUGUAGCGGUGAAAUGCGUAGACAUCAGGAGGAACACCGGUGGCGAAGGCGCACACCUGGCCCGAUACUGACGCUGAGGCGCGAAAGCUAGGGAGCAAACG